GUGUUCACUUUACGUUAUACAUGCACUAAAAUUGAAAUAAUAGAGAAAUUAGCAUCAUUCUUUGCACCAGGAGGAAAUGUAAAUUUGUAAAGCAAUCCAUAUUUUU
Molecule: small nuclear RNA, 106 nt
Organism: Suncus etruscus (white-toothed pygmy shrew)
Lineage: Eukaryota; Metazoa; Chordata; Mammalia; Eulipotyphla; Soricidae
Source: RefSeq, a predicted model, not a curated record